UGAUCUGUUCUUUUCAUUUCA
RNAcentral lists this non-coding RNA (21 nucleotides) under Caenorhabditis elegans. The record is from RNAcentral. Lineage: Eukaryota; Metazoa; Nematoda; Chromadorea; Rhabditida; Rhabditidae.